GACAGAGGCCUCAAGCGUUAGGCGGAAUUACUGGGCGUAAAGCGCACGUAGGCGGAUUGUUAAGUCGGGGGUGAAAUCCUGGAGCUCAACUCCAGAACUGCCUUCGAUACUGGCGAUCUCGAGUUCGGGAGAGGUGAGUGGAACUGCGAGUGUAGAGGUGAAAUUCGUAGAUAUUCGCAAGAACACCAGUGGCGAAGGCGGCUCACUGGCCCGAUACUGACGCUGAGGUGCGAAAGCGUGGGGAGCAAACAGG
RNAcentral lists this ribosomal RNA (253 nucleotides) under uncultured bacterium. RNAcentral describes it as "partial 16S ribosomal RNA". It matches the Rfam family "Bacterial small subunit ribosomal RNA", at positions 524 to 776 of the family's 1533-position model. The record is from RNAcentral.